UUCGACCUCAAAUCAGGUAGGACUACCCGCUGAACUUAAGCAUAUCAAUAAGCGGAGGAGAGGAUCAUUACAGAAUGAAAAGUGCUUAACUGCAUUUUUUCUUACACAUGUGUUUUUCUUUUUUUGAAAACUUUGCUUUGGUAGGCCUUCUAUAUGGGGCCUGCAGAGAUUAAACUCACCAAAUUUUAUUUAAUGUCACCGAUUAUUUAAUAGUCA
This 216-nucleotide ribosomal RNA is filed under the name Lodderomyces parapsilosis. Its description in RNAcentral is "Candida parapsilosis partial 28S ribosomal RNA". The record is from RNAcentral. Lineage: Eukaryota; Fungi; Ascomycota; Pichiomycetes; Serinales; Debaryomycetaceae.